GCACAAGCGGUGGAUCAUGUUGUUUAAUUCGAUGAUACGCGAAGAACCUUACCAGGUCUUGACAUCCCCCGCGAUGCUUUAGAGAUAAAGCGGAGGUAUUCGGGGAGACAGGUGGUGCAUGGUUGUCGUCAGCUCGUGUCGUGAGAUGUUGGGUUAAGUCCCGCAACGAGCGCAACCCUAUUGCUAGUUACCAUCAUUAAGUUGGGGACUCUAGCGAGACUGCCAGUGAUAAGCUGGAGGAAGGUGGGGAUGACGUCAAAUCAUCAUGCCCCUUAUGACCUGGGCUACAAACGUGAUACAAUGGCUGGAACAAAGGGAUGCGAAGCAGUGAUGUGGAGCGAAACCCAUAAAAACAGUCUCAGUUCGGAUUGAAGUCUGCAACUCGACUUCAUGAAGUCGGAAUCGCUAGUAAUCGCGGAUCAGAACGCCGCGGUGAAUACGUUCUCGGGGUUU
RNAcentral lists this ribosomal RNA (453 nucleotides) under uncultured Acholeplasma sp. Its description in RNAcentral is "bacterial SSU rRNA". It matches the Rfam family "Bacterial small subunit ribosomal RNA", at positions 923 to 1382 of the family's 1533-position model. Lineage: Bacteria; Bacillati; Mycoplasmatota; Mollicutes; Acholeplasmatales; Acholeplasmataceae. The record is from RNAcentral.